AGUAUAGUACUUUGGCAUCAAGGAACUAUUAAAGUCACAACGGCAAAAGAUGAGCAUGCGUCCCAUUAGCUAGUUGGUAAGGUAACGGCUUACCAAGGCUACGAUGGGUAGGGGUCCUGAGAGGGAGAUCCCCCACACUGGUACUGAGACACGGACCAGACUCCUACGGGAGGCAGCAGUGAGGAAUAUUGGACAAUGGGCGCAAGCCUGAUCCAGCCAUGCCGCGUGCAGGAUGACGGUCCUAUGGAUUGUAAACUGCUUUUGUACGAGAAGAAACAACAUUACGUGUAAUGUCUUGACGGUAUCGUAAGAAUAAGGAUCGGCUAACUCCGUG
This 334-nucleotide ribosomal RNA is filed under the name uncultured bacterium. RNAcentral's name for it is "bacterial SSU rRNA". It matches the Rfam family "Bacterial small subunit ribosomal RNA", at positions 173 to 507 of the family's 1533-position model. The record is from RNAcentral.